This is a non-coding RNA of Myotis davidii, 74 nucleotides long. Lineage: Eukaryota; Metazoa; Chordata; Mammalia; Chiroptera; Vespertilionidae. The record is from Rfam.
GGUGGUUCUCAGGUGAGGCACCCGGAAUUGGGCUCCCUCCUCACUGGUUCCGGGUGCGUCACCUGACAACCGCA